RNAcentral lists this long non-coding RNA (1101 nucleotides) under Prunus persica (peach). RNAcentral's name for it is "long non-coding RNA (PPER_LNC004386)". The record is from RNAcentral. Lineage: Eukaryota; Viridiplantae; Streptophyta; Magnoliopsida; Rosales; Rosaceae.
UCUUAUGGUUAUAGUUUAAUUACAACUUUAGGUGGGGCCUAGUGUGGAGCAAAUAUUUUCGUUUCCAAUUACAAGACGCCACGUGGAUAAGAUGAAUAUUUCCUAGGUUAAUUAAUUGAGCCCAUUUAUUUGGUCAAUUAAUUAAUAGUAAAAAUUGGGAUAAUAUCUUAAUUAUGAGAUAUUAUCAUUAUUGAAUAAGAUCAUACCACCAAUUUAGAUAUUAUCCUAAUAAGGAGAUAUUAUCAUCAUCAAAUUAGGGAUGUGAUAGGAGAUUUGAUCCCAAUCAAAUCCUUAAUGGACUCAAGGUAUCAAGGUACUUCUUUACAAAACCCUAGCCUCCGAGGCUCUUAUAAAAUACAUGGCUUCGUUCAUCACUCAAGAUACUUAUAAACCUAAUUCUAAAACCCGAGAAAAUACUCAAAACUCUCUAUCUCUCUUUUCCUAACUGCCGGCAACGCCAACACCGCCACCGGCCACACCACUAUCCUCGCUCCAUAUUUUAUAUACACGGCUCCUGCCACCCCCCACACAAUGCUCAGGUCGCUCAGUUCACACCAUAUAUACAUCUCCGUACUCUUUUUUAGCUAUUGUUUCUCCUAGAUUCAAUCGAAAUAACUUUGACAUCGGAGGGUAUUUGGCCAACACCCCCUGGGUGUGGUCUAUUUACUCCGGUCCUUUAUAGAGGAACUGAGGAAGAGAGAGAAGGAAGAUCAAAGGUUGAAGGAUCCCAAAGUGAAUAUUUUGCAACGAGGAUUUUUGCACAAACACUUAGGACAUCAAAGGUUUUUUUUUUUUUUUUUUGGACAAAGAUUUGCAAAACUUAUUCUCUUGCACGAGGGAAAGUAUAAUAAGUGAUGUGGUGAGAGGUGGUAUAUAGAGUGGACAAGAGGCAAAGAUAGUUAAUAUUAUCUAGAGAGAGAAAAAUGGUUGUUUGGGGGAGGAGUAAAAGAUAGGAGAAGAGGCCCAAAAAAAUAUUUUAAAUCUCCGAGAUCUUUGAUACGGAAGUAGUUGAGGAGGAAUGUUUUGAGACGUUCCAUUUCUUGAAAAUUAUUUCCUGUGUGGAGUAUGUCAUUAACAUAGAUAAGGACUGUCAUAAAUGAA